GACGAACGCUGGCGGCGUGCUUAACACAUGCAAGUCGAACGGAAAGGCCCUGCUUUUGUGGGGUGCUCGAGUGGCGAACGGGUGAGUAACACGUGAGUAACCUGCCCUUGACUUGGGAUAACUUCAGGAAACUGGGGCUAAUACCGGAUAGGAGCUCCUGCUGCAUGGUGGGGGUUGGAAAGUUUCGGCGGUUGGGGAUGGACUCGCGGCUUAUCAGCUUGUUGGUGGGGUAGUGGCUUACCAAGGCUUUGACGGGUAGCCGGCCUGAGAGGGUGACCGGCCACAUUGGGACUGAGAGACGGCCCAGACUCCUACGGGAGGCAGCAGUGGGGAAUAUUGCACAAUGGGCGGAAGCCUGAUGCAGCAACGCCGCGUGCGGGAUGACGGCCUUCGGGUUGUAAACCGCUUUCGCCUGUGACGAAGCGUGAGUGACGGUAAUGGGUAAAGAAGCACCGGCUAACUACGUG
Molecule: ribosomal RNA, 467 nt
Filed under: uncultured bacterium
Lineage: Bacteria
Description: partial 16S ribosomal RNA
Rfam family: Bacterial small subunit ribosomal RNA
Source: RNAcentral